GCCAUUCUCAUCCCUGUGCUCAGAGCUCUCAAGCACCCACGAUGGCCUUCUCAGGCCGAGCGCGCCCCUGCAUUAUCCCAGAGAACGAAGAAAUCCCCCGAGCAGCCCUUAACACUGUCCACGAGGCCAAUGGGACCGAGGACGAGAGGGCUGUUUCCAAACUGCAGCGCAGGCACAGUGACGUGAAAGUCUACAAGGAGUUCUGUGACUUUUAUGCGAAAUUCAACAUGGCCAACGCCCUGGCCAGCGCCACUUGCGAGCGCUGCAAGGGCGGCUUUGCGCCCGCUGAGACGAUCGUGAACAGUAAUGGGGAGCUGUACCAUGAGCAGUGUUUCGUGUGCGCUCAGUGCUUCCAGCAGUUCCCAGAAGGACUCUUCUAUGAGUUUGAAGGAAGAAAGUACUGUGAACAUGACUUUCAGAUGCUCUUUGCCCCUUGCUGUCAUCAGUGUGGUGAAUUCAUCAUUGGCCGAGUUAUCAAAGCCAUGAAUAACAGCUGGCAUCCGGAGUGCUUCCGCUGUGACCUCUGCCAGGAAGUUCUGGCAGAUAUCGGGUUUGUCAAGAAUGCUGGGAGACACCUGUGUCGCCCCUGUCAUAAUCGUGAGAAAGCCAGAGGCCUUGGGAAAUACAUCUGCCAGAAAUGCCAUGCUAUCAUCGAUGAGCAGCCUCUGAUAUUCAAGAACGACCCCUACCAUCCAGACCAUUUCAACUGCGCCAACUGCGGACAGGAAGGAUCUGACUGCCGAUGCACAGGAGCUGAAAGGGGAGCUAUACUGCCUGCCAUGCCAUGAUAAAAUGGGGGUCCCCAUCUGUGGCGCUUGCCGACGGCCCAUCGAAGGGCGUGUGGUGAACGCCAUGGGCAAGCAGUGGCAUGUGGAGCAUUUUGUUUGUGCCAAGUGUGAGAAACCCUUUCUUGGACAUCGCCAUUAUGAGAGGAAAGGCCUGGCGUAUUGUGAAACUCACUAUAACCAGCUAUUUGGUGAUGUUUGCUUCCACUGCAAUCGUGUUAUAGAAGGUGAUGUGGUCUCUGCUCUUAAUAAGGCCUGGUGCGUGAACUGCUUUGCCUGUUCUACCUGCAACACUAAAUUAACACUCAAGUAAGUGUACGGUUUUGUCCAGUGUGAAUCCUAAGACUGAAAACUUUGGGGGGACACUGAAAAAAAAUCCUAGAAUUUAGAAAAAGAGAAUUAUUUGAUUUCUUAUUUCCUCUUUCUGUUCAGGCCUUCUGAAAGUAAAGGUUCUUCCUUUAACUGUUCCCUGUUCUUUCUUCUAUUCCUUCUUUGUCCUACUCAAAGGGAUAAGUUUGUUGAAAUUGACCUAAAGCCAGUCUGCAAACACUGUUAUGAGAAAAUGCCAGAAGAAUUUAAGAGGCGACUUGCCAAACGGGAGAGAGAAGCAAAGGAUAAGGACAAGCAGAAAAAGAAAAAGCCAGUCUGUUUGUAAACUUUUCUAUCCCUGUGUCAUCAUUUUCACUACUUUCUCCUUUGGUUAGUCCUUUGGAAUAUGUUUUUGUUCUGUUUCUGUCUUUUGCUUUCUUCCCCCCCUGCAACUUUUGGGCGUGUAUUUGUAGUCAUCAGAAAUUUGGGCCAAGGGGAGCGGAUCACGAGGUCAGGAGAUCGAGACUAUCCUGGCUAACACGGUGAAACCCCAUCUCUACUAAAAAUACAAAAAAAACAUUAGCCAGGCGUGGUGGCGGUCGCCUGUAGUCCCAGCUCCUCAGGAGGCUGAGGCAGGAGAAUGGCUUGAACCCAGGAGGCGGAGCUUGCAGUGAGCCGAGACCGCGCCGCUGCACUCCAGCCUGGGUGACAGAGCAAGACUCUGUCUCAAAAAAAAAAAAAAAAAAGUGUAAGUGGAUUAAAAGAGAAACUUGGUCUAGUUCAUAAUAUUUUUAAUAGGGCUUUCCCUGGCUGCUGGAAAACUUAGGCCAGUAAGCAUCUCUUUGUUUAAAGUCCUACAAGACAAUUUGAAAUAAUUCAUUGUUCAUGCCAAAAUUCUAAGUACUGUUUUUCUUAGCAAGUGUAACAUAAUCAGGAACAAUGGGUACGAGUAAAACAUUCUUUGGAUGAUAUUCAGAGCCUUAUUAGCACUGCAUCUGAAUAAUAGGUCAUUUUGCCUCACUCAUUUGCCAAAGUAGCCAUUUCUAAGUUAAGGAAGUUUUUAGAUAGGCUCAUAGCCUUGUAUUUCGUUUUAGAUUGUAAGCUCAAUGGUAGGGAUACUAUAUUGGUAAUUAUGUUUUCAUAUAGCAACCACCACAGUAUAUUCUUGGUGCUUAAUAAAUGUUUAUAAUUGUUAACAAUAA
Molecule: RNA transcript, 2296 nt
Organism: Homo sapiens (human)
Lineage: Eukaryota; Metazoa; Chordata; Mammalia; Primates; Hominidae
Gene: LIMS3
Gene name: LIM zinc finger domain containing 3
Exons: 9
Source: RefSeq, marked validated